CUGGUUGAUCCUGCCAGUAGUCAUAUGCUUGUCUCAAAGCUUAAGCCAUGCAAGUCUCAGUACGAGCUGACUUAAAGUGAAACCGCCAAAGGCUCAGUAAACCGGUCAUAGUUUACCGGAUAUAGCCACUCACGUGGAUAACUGUGGUAAUUCUAGAGCUAAUACAUGCAAACAAGUCCUCUCCAGCGAUGGAGGGGACGCUUUUAUUGGAUCAAAACCAUUCGCCUGGUUCGCCGGGCGUCUGCUUGAUGACUCUAGAUAACACCACAGAUCGCACGGUCUUAGUACCGGUGACAUAUCCUUCAAAUGUCUGACUUAUCAGCUGUCGAUGGUAGACUCUGUGUCUACCAUGGCGCUCACGGGUGACGGGGAAUCAGGGUUCGAUUCCGGAGAGGGAGCCUGAGAAACGGCUACCACAUCCAAGGAAGGCAGCAGGCACGCAAAUUACCCACUCCCGGCACGGGGAGGUAGUGACAAAAAAUAACGAUACGGGACUCAUCCGAGGCCCCGUAAUCGGAAUGAGAACACUCUAAAUCCUUUAACGAGGAUCUAUUGGAGGGCAAGUCUGGUGCCAGCAGCCGCGG
Molecule: ribosomal RNA, 584 nt
Filed under: Boisea trivittata (boxelder bug)
Lineage: Eukaryota; Metazoa; Arthropoda; Insecta; Hemiptera; Rhopalidae
Description: SSU rRNA
Rfam family: Eukaryotic small subunit ribosomal RNA
Source: RNAcentral